Molecule: ribosomal RNA, 393 nt
Filed under: uncultured bacterium
Lineage: Bacteria
Description: partial 16S ribosomal RNA
Rfam family: Bacterial small subunit ribosomal RNA
Source: RNAcentral
GGGGAAUUUUGGACAAUGGGGCAACCCUGAUCCAGCAAUGCCGCGUGAGUGAAGAAGGCCUUCGGGUUGUAAAGCUCUUUUGCCUGGAAAGAAAUCGCCCGGGCUAAUACCCUGGGUGGAUGACGGUACCGGAAGAAUAAGCACCGGCUAACUACGUGCCAGCAGCCGCGGUAAUACGUAGGGUGCAAGCGUUAAUCGGAAUUACUGGGCGUAAAGCGUGCGCAGGCGGUUUUUCAAGACCGAUGUGAAAGCCCCGGGCUUAACCUGGGAAUGGCAUUGGUGACUGAGAGGCUAGAGUGUGUCAGAGGGGGGUUAGAAUUCCACGUGUAGCAGGUGAAAUGCGUAGAGAUGUGGAGGAAUACCGAUGGCGAAGGCAGCCCCCUGGGAUAACAC